This 87-nucleotide unclassified non-coding RNA is filed under the name Pseudomonas psychrophila. Lineage: Bacteria; Pseudomonadati; Pseudomonadota; Gammaproteobacteria; Pseudomonadales; Pseudomonadaceae. The record is from RNAcentral.
UGUGGGAGCGGGCUUGCUCGCGAUACAGGCUAUGGGGCGCUACCGUUACACCGCGCCGAUGCCAUCGCGAGCAAGCCCGCUCCCACA